RNAcentral lists this ribosomal RNA (700 nucleotides) under uncultured Serratia sp. Its description in RNAcentral is "bacterial SSU rRNA". It matches the Rfam family "Bacterial small subunit ribosomal RNA", at positions 768 to 1468 of the family's 1533-position model. Lineage: Bacteria; Pseudomonadati; Pseudomonadota; Gammaproteobacteria; Enterobacterales; Yersiniaceae. The record is from RNAcentral.
GCGAACGGGAUUAGAUACCCUGGUAGUCCACGCUGUAAACGAUGUCGAUUUGGAGGUUGUGCCCUUGAGGCGUGGCUUCCGGAGCUAACGCGUUAAAUCGACCGCCUGGGGAGUACGGCCGCAAGGUUAAAACUCAAAUGAAUUGACGGGGGCCCGCACAAGCGGUGGAGCAUGUGGUUUAAUUCGAUGCAACGCGAAGAACCUUACCUACUCUUGACAUCCAGAGAACUUUCCAGAGAUGGAUUGGUGCCUUCGGGAACUCUGAGACAGGUGCUGCAUGGCUGUCGUCAGCUCGUGUUGUGAAAUGUUGGGUUAAGUCCCGCAACGAGCGCAACCCUUAUCCUUUGUUGCCAGCGGUUCGGCCGGGAACUCAAAGGAGACUGCCAGUGAUAAACUGGAGGAAGGUGGGGAUGACGUCAAGUCAUCAUGGCCCUUACGAGUAGGGCUACACACGUGCUACAAUGGCAUAUACAAAGAGAAGCGACCUCGCGAGAGCAAGCGGACCUCAUAAAGUAUGUCGUAGUCCGGAUUGGAGUCUGCAACUCGACUCCAUGAAGUCGGAAUCGCUAGUAAUCGUAGAUCAGAAUGCUACGGUGAAUACGUUCCCGGGCCUUGUACACACCGCCCGUCACACCAUGGGAGUGGGUUGCAAAAGAAGUAGGUAGCUUAACCUUCGGGAGGGCGCUCACCACUUUGUGAU